Molecule: unclassified non-coding RNA, 1398 nt
Filed under: Hevea brasiliensis (rubber tree)
Lineage: Eukaryota; Viridiplantae; Streptophyta; Magnoliopsida; Malpighiales; Euphorbiaceae
Source: RNAcentral
AAGCACGAGAAAAAUAGGAAAACCUGAAAGCAUCCAUUGGAUAACCACAAAGAAAUUUUUAUUUACAGAUAAUAAGUUAGAACUUAGAAGGGAAAUUAUUGAAAAAAUAGCAAAAUAAAACAAGUUUAAGUUAUACCUAGUCUAAAUAUCAGGGUAGAAAAGGAUGACAUAAGCUUUUACAAGAAAUACUAAAACACAAAAAGAUCAAACCGCCCACUUUUAUCUUGUCAAAAAUUAACAAGUGAGUCAUACACACACAUAUCAGAAUAGAAAUGCAGAGAGAGAGGAUACAAAAAUCUUGCAUGGUACAGCAGUGUGCCUACGUCCCCAAAGAGCGACUUGAAAUUAUCUGCUUAAAAGGAGGAAGUUGGAAGUGCCAAUUUUCCUUCUGCAAGUUGCAAUAGGACAAACUUACAAAAAUAACCCCCCAAUAAUUAGAACUACCUUAAGCUAAUAAGAGUUUACCAAACUGCAGGGGAUUCUACCCUUGCACCCACCUAUCUACUAAUAGGCUGCACCAAAGUUAGGAUAUUCCUCACCAUGGGGUUACCACCCUAUUGCCUAGAGUUUUAAGUGUACAAUAUCUUCUCUGAAUAUAAGCAACAAUCUCAACACAUCUUCCCAUUAUUAUGUUUUGAAUUUACUAUUUAAGGUCUUUAGCAACAUAAUACAGAUCCAGUCUUCUUGACCAAUCUUAUCUAUAUGAGGAGGUCUAUUGGAGCCUUGCAGAAAUCACAAGUUCGAUGAACUAUUGAGCCCUUGCAGAUUUUUCCACAAAUCGAUCCAACUAAAUUGAAAGUCAAAUUCAAAAUUGCAGCAUAAGUGAUUCAUGAUGGCUGACACCUUUAACAAAUGUGCUUGCUUAAAUAAUUUAUUUUUGAAUGGGGAUAGAUGGCUUAGAUUUAACUUCCAUAAUCGGAUUAAUUUGCAGAAUGACUGCAGCAGGGGAAGUCAUCAUAUAAACAGGAUGACAUAUAAGAAUUUUAUGAAGACUGCCAACCAAACAUCUUUUAUUUAGGAUUCAUUAUAAGAGUCUUUUUGGUUUUGGGGCUACAGGGGGUGGGGGGUAUUAGUAAAAAAUUCAAACUACUGCUUUAAGAAGCUGAAAAUUGCCUAUAAAACCAAUGAUUUUCACAACUUAAAAGCUCAUUAUAAAAUUUGCUAACUAUUGUCCUCUGUCUUUCACUCACAAGAUUUAACAACAUUGUAAUUAACUAGAAGGUAUAAUUCAACACUUCUUCAAACUAAAUAAAAGGAAAUAAAAGAAAUGUAAAAAGCUCCUCUGUCUCUAUGGCUACAUCAACAAGCAUAAAAAUCCUCUAUAAUUGUUCCUAUAAUUAUCCAUUUUUAUUAGAAAUGUGAUGCCAGAUUUUGAAACUCAAAGCUAUUCUAAAUAGU